UACGUAGGGGGCAAGCGUUGUCCGGAUUUAUUGGGCGUAAAGAGCGUGUAGGCGGCCAUGUAGGUCCGUUGUGAAAACUCGAGGCUCAACCUCGAGACGCCGAUGGAAACCAUGUGGCUAGAGUCCGGAAGAGGAGAGUGGAAUUCCUGGUGUAGCGGUGAAAUGCGCAGAUAUCAGGAAGAACACCCGUGGCUAAGGCGGCUCUCUAGUACGGUACUGACGCUGAGGUGCGAAAGCGUGGGGAGCAAACAGG
Molecule: ribosomal RNA, 253 nt
Filed under: uncultured bacterium
Lineage: Bacteria
Description: partial 16S ribosomal RNA
Rfam family: Bacterial small subunit ribosomal RNA
Source: RNAcentral